RNAcentral lists this ribosomal RNA (554 nucleotides) under uncultured bacterium. RNAcentral describes it as "bacterial SSU rRNA". It matches the Rfam family "Bacterial small subunit ribosomal RNA", at positions 14 to 562 of the family's 1533-position model. The record is from RNAcentral.
UGAUCCUGGCUCAGAUUGAACGCUGGCGGCAGGCUUAACACAUGCAAGUCGAGCGGAGAGAGGUAGCUUGCUACUGAUCUUAGCGGCGGACGGGUGAGUAAUACUUAGGAAUCCGGCUAUUAGUGGGGGACAACAUUUCGAAAGGGAUGCUAAUACCGCAUACGUCCUACGGGAGAAAGCAGGGGAUCUUCGGACCUUGCGCUAAUAGAUGAGCCUAAGUCGGAUUAGCUAGUUGGUGGGGUAAAGGCCUACCAAGGCGACGAUCUGUAGCGGGUCUGAGAGGAUGAUCCGCCACACUGGGACUGAGACACGGCCCAGACUCCUACGGGAGGCAGCAGUGGGGAAUAUUGGACAAUGGGGGGGACCCUGAUCCAGCCAUGCCGCGUGUGUGAAGAAGGCCUUAUGGUUGUAAAGCACUUUAAGCGAGGAGGAGGGUACUGGUAUUAAUACUACCAGGUACUGGACGUUACUCGCAGAAUAAGCACCGGCUAACUCUGUGCCAGCAGCCGCGGUAAUACAGAGGGUGCGAGCGUUAAUCGGAUUUACUGGGCGUA